GUUAAAAAGCUCGUAGUUGGAUUUCGGAAUGGGCCAGUUGGUCCGCCUCACGGUGUGUUACUGGCUGGUCUGUUCUUCUUCGCAAAGACUGCGUGUGCUCUUUACCGAGUGUGCGUAGGAUUUACGACGUUUACUUUGAAAAAAUUAGAGUGUUCAAAGCAGGCCUACCGCUUGAAUACAUGAGCAUGGAAUAAUGGAAUAGGACUUUGGUCUUAUUUUGUUGGUUUCUAAGACCGAAGUAAUGAUUAAGAGGGACAGUUGGGGGCAUUCGUAUUUCGUUGUCAGAGGUGAAAUUCUUGGAUUUACGAAAGACGAACAACUGCGAAAGCAUUUGCCAAGAAUGUUUUCAUUAAUCAAGAACGAAAGUUAGAGGAUCGAAGACGAUCAGAUACCGUCCUAGUUCUAACCAUAAACGAUGUCAACUAGGGAUCAGUGGGCGUUACAUACGACCUCAUUGGCACCUUAAGGGAAACCAAAGUUUUUGGAUUCCGGGGGAAGUAUGGUUGCAAAGCUGAAACUUAAAGGAAUUGACGGAAGGGCACCACCA
RNAcentral lists this ribosomal RNA (547 nucleotides) under uncultured marine eukaryote. RNAcentral describes it as "SSU rRNA". It matches the Rfam family "Eukaryotic small subunit ribosomal RNA", at positions 618 to 1172 of the family's 1831-position model. The record is from RNAcentral.